Molecule: non-coding RNA, 154 nt
Organism: Picea glauca (white spruce)
Lineage: Eukaryota; Viridiplantae; Streptophyta; Pinopsida; Pinales; Pinaceae
Source: Rfam
GACUCUCGAAAAUGGAUAUCUCGGCUCUUGUCACGAUGAAGAACGUAGCGAAAUGCGAUACUUAGUGUGAAUUGCAGAAUCCCGUGAAUCAUCGAGUUUUUGAAUGCAAUUUGUGCCUGAGGCCUCGAUCGAGGGCAUGUCUGUCUGGGCGUCG